Molecule: ribosomal RNA, 274 nt
Filed under: uncultured bacterium
Lineage: Bacteria
Description: partial 16S ribosomal RNA
Rfam family: Bacterial small subunit ribosomal RNA
Source: RNAcentral
AGACGGGGGGGGCGAGCGUUGUUCGGAAUUACUGGGCGUAAAGGGCGCGCAGGCGGCUUGGGAAGUCUUGGGUGAAAGCCCCCAGCUCAACUGGGGAAUGGCCUGAGAAACCACUAGGCUGGAGUGCUGGAGAGGGAAGCGGAAUUCCCGGUGGGGCGGUGAAAUGCGUAGAUAUCGGGAGGAACACCAGAGGCGAAGGCGGCUUCCUGGACAGACACUGACGCUGAGGCGCGAAAGCUAGGGGAGCAAACGGGAUUAGAAACCCCGGUAGUCC